This 1343-nucleotide ribosomal RNA is filed under the name uncultured bacterium. RNAcentral's name for it is "16S ribosomal RNA". It matches the Rfam family "Bacterial small subunit ribosomal RNA", at positions 28 to 1378 of the family's 1533-position model. The record is from RNAcentral.
GACGAACGCUGGCGGCGUGCUUAACACAUGCAAGUCGAACGGAAAGGCCCUGCUUUUGUGGGGUGCUCGAGUGGCGAACGGGUGAGUAACACGUGAGUAACCUGCCCUUGACUUUGGGAUAACUUCAGGAAACUGGGGCUAAUACCGGAUAGGAGCUCCUGCUGCAUGGUGGGGGUUGGAAAGUUUCGGCGGUUGGGGAUGGACUCGCGGCUUAUCAGCUUGUUGGUGGGGUAGUGGCUUACCAAGGCUUUGACGGGUAGCCGGCCUGAGAGGGUGACCGGCCACAUUGGGACUGAGAUACGGCCCAGACUCCUACGGGAGGCAGCAGUGGGGAAUAUUGCACAAUGGGCGGAAGCCUGAUGCAGCAACGCCGCGUGCGGGAUGACGGCCUUCGGGUUGUAAACCGCUUUCGCCUGUGACGAAGCGUGAGUGACGGUAAUGGGUAAAGAAGCACCGGCUAACUACGUGCCAGCAGCCGCGGUGAUACGUAGGGUGCGAGCGUUGUCCGGAUUUAUUGGGCGUAAAGGGCUCGUAGGUGGUUGAUCGCGUCGGAAGUGUAAUCUUGGGGCUUAACCCUGAGCGUGCUUUCGAUACGGGUUGACUUGAGGAAGGUAGGGGAGAAUGGAAUUCCUGGUGGAGCGGUGGAAUGCGCAGAUAUCAGGAGGAACACCAGUGGCGAAGGCGGUUCUCUGGGCCUUUCCUGACGCUGAGGAGCGAAAGCGUGGGGAGCGAACAGGCUUAGAUACCCUGGUAGUCCACGCUGUAAGCGGUGGGUACUAGGUGUGGGGUCCAUUCCACGGGUUCCGUGCCGUAGCUAACGCUUUAAGUACCCCGCCUGGGGAGUACGGCCGCAAGGCUAAAACUCAAAGGAAUUGACGGGGCCCCGCACAAGCGGCGGAGCAUGCGGAUUAAUUCGAUGCAACGCGUAGAACCUUACCUGGGUUUGACAUGGAUCGGGAGCGCUCAGAGAUGGGUGUGCCUCUUUUGGGGUCGGUUCACAGGUGGUGCAUGGCUGUCGCCAGCUCGUGUCGUGAGAUGUUGGGUUAAGUCCCGCAACGAGCGCAACCCUUGUUCACUGUUGCCAGCACGUUAUGGUGGGGACUCAGUGGAGACCGCCAGGGUCAACUCGGAGGAAGGUGGGGAUGACGUCAAGUCAUCAUGCCCCUUAUGUCCAGGGCUUCACGCAUGCUACAAUGGCUGGUACAGAGAGUGGCGAGCCUGUGAGGGUGAGCGAAUCUCGGAAAGCCGGUCUCAGUUCGGAUUGGGGUCUGCAACUCGACCUCAUGAAGUCGGAGUCGCUAGUAAUCGCAGAUCAGCAACGCUGCGGUGAAUACGUUCCCGGG